UACGUAGAACCUUCAAACGCAAAAAAGUACGUGAAAUAAGAUAUGACCAGAACGGUGAAAUACGACUACGGUUGAAAAAUCACAGUAUUCCGGUAAAGUCUUGGUGCCGAUAGUUGACUUACCCUUACUAUUCACUAUGCUGCAGAUUUGGCGUUUGGUGUCUGAUUGACUAUUGUGAUACCUUUCUGGAAGCGUAACGGCGCUACGAGUGAGACACAUUGCUAAUGCUAUGAUGUAUAGGCUUUUUUGGCCAUCCGAGUCCGUUUAGGGCUUGAAAAUACAGUUUUCUUAUUUUCGAUUAGAGUUGACCGUUUCGAUCGAGCCCUUAACGUUGUCGAAUCCAGUUGAAUUCUUUACCAUAGACAUCUUUCGUCAUAAUGAUCAUAUCUGACGGUCGAAUUUUGGUUUGUGAAUUUUAGUCAUCGGAAUCACAACGUGUCUACUAUUUACCGUUAUUCGGGUUUAUGGGGAGCCCUAUCGUCGGAAGGUAAAUGUCUCAAAAUUUUUAUAUGGGCAGUUUCGUCUCAUCUACGUGAGAGUUUUUUGUGUGGAAGGUUUGACCAAACUACGUAAUAUAGAGGGAGAUAUGAGCGUUUUCGUGUGACAAGUGACUAUGGAUUAUGGUUGACCGUUUCGAUCGAGCCCUUAACGUUGUCGGAUCCAGUUGAAUUUUUUACCAUAGACAUAUUUCGUCAUAAUGAUCAUAUCUGACGGUCGAAUUUUGGUUUGUGAAUUUUAGUCAUCGGAAUCACAACGUGUCUACUAACGUUGUAUAACUUGUUUAGUAGGUUAUACAACUUUGUGAACCAACUCUACAUAGGAAGCAAAAUUAUGAAAAAUCUCGUGAAAUAAGAUGUGUUCAAAAUGGUGAAAUACGGCUAUGGUUCAAAAAUCACGUAAAUCGGGUAAAGUCUCGGAGCCGAUAGUAGCGGUCAACCCUAUUUACCGUUAUUAUUCCUUAUGGGGAGCCCUAUCGUCGGAAGGUAAAUGUCUCAAAAUUUUUAUAUGGGCAGUUGCGUCUCAUCUAUGUGAGAGUUUUUAGUGUGGAAGGUUUGACCAAAUUACGUAAUAUAGGGGGAGAUAUGAGCGUUUUCGUGAAUUUAUAGACUUUAGCCGACAAAAAUAUAUGAAAAGUCGUCAGCUAAGGUCAAAAAAUUUCAAAAUUUUUUAGGCGGUAAACCAAAGUUGGAGGAAAAUUUUCAAAGGACUUUAGCCGACGAAAAUAUAUGAAAAGUUGUCGGCUAAAGUCGAAAAAUUUUCAAAAUUUUCAACCAAAAUUUUUUGGCGGUCAACCAAAAUUUUCAAAAGAGUUUAGCCGACGAAAAUAAAGAAUUUCGUCGGCUAAAGUUCUUUAUAUAGGCGAAGAUGGAUGGUAAGAAGUCUAUUAUCUGCCAGAUUUUCUUCUCGGCCUAGCUCCGCCGUCAAGCCACCGGAGACCGUCACACUUGUCCCAAAAGCUUCGCCGUCGUCUCUACUUCAUUGCUGGAUAGGUGGUGCCUCGAGUGGCGCCGCCGUGAGGGAUAAAUCGAGCUCCAAAACUCCGCCGGUUCGGAUUCGGUGUCGAUCAAAUUUCUCCUUCCUUAGGUCACCAUUUGGUGAGUUCUAUAUAUGGAUAAGUUGAGUUUGAUUAGUACUACAUUCCCCUAGAAUUUGGUAGCUCGAUUCGGUGUGUGUGAAGAGAAUCGAAGAUUUGAAGUUUUUAGGGUUUAAAAUUGUGGAUUUUUAUAUUUUGAGUCGAUUGACCUGUUUAGGCUUAGAAUUGAGCUUCGAUUUCUUCUAGAAAGUUGUUCGAAAUGUUGAGACGAAGAUUCUGUCAAAUUUUGGUCGUGAUUGGAGGUGGCCGAAAGUUUCUGCAGUUUUUUUUUUCAAAACCCAGCAACUUUAGCCGACGAUAUUUAAACACUAUAUUCGUCGGCUAUAGUAUUUUUUAAUUUUUUUUAUU
RNAcentral lists this long non-coding RNA (1942 nucleotides) under Fragaria vesca (wild strawberry). RNAcentral's name for it is "long non-coding RNA (FVES_LNC004931)". The record is from RNAcentral. Lineage: Eukaryota; Viridiplantae; Streptophyta; Magnoliopsida; Rosales; Rosaceae.